Molecule: transfer RNA, 76 nt
Filed under: Rhizoctonia solani
Lineage: Eukaryota; Fungi; Basidiomycota; Agaricomycetes; Cantharellales; Ceratobasidiaceae
Description: tRNA-Pro
Source: RNAcentral
GCCCGGAUGGUCUAGUGGUAUGAUUCGCCCUUAGGGAAACUGGGCGAGGUCCCCGGUUCAAUCCCGGGUUCGGGCC